Molecule: ribosomal RNA, 499 nt
Filed under: uncultured bacterium
Lineage: Bacteria
Description: partial 16S ribosomal RNA
Rfam family: Bacterial small subunit ribosomal RNA
Source: RNAcentral
GACGAACGCUGGCGGCGUGCUUAACACAUGCAAGUCGAACGGGCCCGCUCUCUUUUUUGGGGGUGGGUUGAGUGGCGAACGGGUGAGUAUCACGUGAGUAACCUGCCCCCUGCUCCUGGAUAACUGCUUGAAAGGGCGGCUAAUACGGGGUGUGCCGGCUGGUCCGCAUGGGCCUGGUCGGGAUAGUUUCUUCUUCGGGUGUUUCGGUGGGGGAUGGGCUCGCGGCCUAUCAGCUUGUUGGUGGGGUGAUGGCCCACCAAGGCGGUGACGGGUAGCCGGCCUGAGAGGGUGGGCGGCCACACUGGGACUGAGACACGGCCCAGACUCCUGCGGGAGGCAGCAGUGGGGGGUAUUGCACAAUGGGCGGAAGCCUGAUGCAGCGACGUCGCGUGAGGGAUGGAGGCCUUCGGGUGGUGAACCUCUUUCUCCGGUGGUGAAGGCCCUGUCCGUUGCGGCGGGGUUGACGGUAGCCGGGGAUGAAGCGCCGGCUAACUACGUG